GCAGUCGAGCGGACAGAAGGGAGCUUGCUCCCGGAUGUUAGCGGCGGACGGGUGAGUAACACGUGGGUAACCUGCCUGUAAGACUGGGAUAACUCCGGGAAACCGGAGCUAAUACCGGAUAGUUCCUUGAACCGCAUGGUUCAAGGAUGAAAGACGGUUUCGGCUGUCACUUACAGAUGGACCCGCGGCGCAUUAGCUAGUUGGUGAGGUAACGGCUCACCAAGGCGACGAUGCGUAGCCGACCUGAGAGGGUGAUCGGCCACACUGGGACUGAGACACGGCCCAGACUCCUACGGGAGGCAGCAGUAGGGAAUCUUCCGCAAUGGACGAAAGUCUGACGGAGCAACGCCGCGUGAGUGAUGAAGGUUUUCGGAUCGUAAAGCUCUGUUGUUAGGGAAGAACAAGUGCAAGAGUAACUGCUUGCACCUUGACGGUACCUAACCAGAAAGCCACGGCUAACUACGUGCCAGCAGCCGCGGUAAUACGUAGGUGGCAAGCGUUGUCCGGAAUUAUUGGGCGUAAAGGGCUCGCAGGCGGUUUCUUAAGUCUGAUGUGAAAGCCCCCGGCUCAACCGGGGAGGGUCAUUGGAAACUGGGAAACUUGAGUGCAGAAGAGGAGAGUGGAAUUCCACGUGUAGCGGUGAAAUGCGUAGAGAUGUGGAGGAACACCAGUGGCGAAGGCGACUCUCUGGUCUGUAACUGACGCUGAGGAGCGAAAG
This 718-nucleotide ribosomal RNA is filed under the name Bacillus aerophilus. RNAcentral's name for it is "bacterial SSU rRNA". It matches the Rfam family "Bacterial small subunit ribosomal RNA", at positions 57 to 759 of the family's 1533-position model. The record is from RNAcentral. Lineage: Bacteria; Bacillati; Bacillota; Bacilli; Caryophanales; Bacillaceae.